RNAcentral lists this long non-coding RNA (319 nucleotides) under Malus domestica (apple). Its description in RNAcentral is "long non-coding RNA (MDOM_LNC018240)". The record is from RNAcentral. Lineage: Eukaryota; Viridiplantae; Streptophyta; Magnoliopsida; Rosales; Rosaceae.
UAUCACAUUGGAUACUAGACAUGAAACAAACUAUCACUCAAACAAUGUGAUUAAGAGUAUUGUAUUAGAGAAUGACCGUAUUGCAUUGUAGUUGCAACUGGAUAGGUUCUCCAACCAAUUCUACUUAGCUUGGGUAACCAUGACAUACUGCUAGGUGUCACUCAUGGUUUGUGGAAGCCCUAAAUGAUUAGCAAACACUAAUCAUUAAGGGAAAAUUGAAAUGUGGUUUCAAUUUCACAAUCGAUCGUUAAGAUUAACAAUCGCCCACUACCUCGCUAAUUGGAACCUAAUGGAUCGUACACCGAGUAAGGAUGUAUGU